UAUAUACUCUAUAUACUUAUAUAUACUUUAGUGUACUACUGCUAGUACUGCAAUACCUCAAUACUGCAAUAUGAUAUAUGUGCUCUCUUUUCUCUUUCAAAAAAUAUUGUAAAUGCCAUUGCUGUUUUGUUGUUUGUUUGUUUGUUUGUUUUUAAUUUGGAAUGCAUUUCUGCUUUACAGUGGGGAACCCAGUAGCACCAAAUCUGGGAGUCUGAUGAACGUUUCCCUCUAGGAUUGCUGUUGAACAAACACAAUUACCAACAGCUAAAGGAUAACUGCUCUGACUGUCAAGUAUUCACUGGAGUGCCAGCAGUAUUUCCCAGAGCUUUGGUUCGUGGAGAAACCACAGGAUACACUACUGAAUGACAGUGCUGAAUUAAAUCUGAGCUAAUGACAGAUCUGAAGAAGUGUCAACACUGCAACCGAAAAAGCUCGAAGCAGCAGAAAUGUCGUUCGCAGGGGAGAUGGGAGCCAUAGCAAAUACACUUUUCAGGGUUGGUUACUCCUGACUAAUGGCAUGCUGUUUUCAGCAAGUAAAGCCAAAACCUUGCCCACAGGCAGCAGCAUGCUCCAGUGCCCUUUUCUUGUUCCCAGAACAAAAAGUGCUCAAGCACAUCCUCACUGCCAAGCUUUCUUUGGAAAAGAGCCGUAACUCUGUAUCUUCGUACUGAGAAAUUGAGGACAUAGAAGCAUUUCUAAACCUACCAACUGUUGAUAUCAGGGUAGGAGCCCCAACAUCCUCUCUCUGUGUCUUGGAUGCCCGAAAGCAUGGUGAAUGCAUAAUAUGACUAUUUUAAUGGUAAGUAAUCCAUCCAAAGCCCACUGGAUCUGCAGAAAUCUGAGUCUCCUCCUCUGGCUGCAAUGGUAGCAGAGUGCUGAGAAUCAGGCAGGAUUGUGCCCAUAGCUCAGUUCAAAAUGAUGUGCCAAAUUAACAGGCAUAAUCAAGAAUGACAUUGUGUAAGAGGUAAGAAAGACUAAUCAGAUGCUAACUUAGCUGAUGCUGGCAUUAUUGAAAGCCUGGGGACAUAGUCCAAGGAUAAAAGCAUAAUGUCUUAUCUAACCAAGGAGUCAUU
RNAcentral lists this long non-coding RNA (1073 nucleotides) under Phasianus colchicus (ring-necked pheasant). RNAcentral describes it as "lncRNA (ENSPCLG00000021611.1)". The record is from RNAcentral. Lineage: Eukaryota; Metazoa; Chordata; Aves; Galliformes; Phasianidae.